This is a non-coding RNA of Podarcis lilfordi (Lilford's wall lizard), 1324 nucleotides long. The record is from the annotation of a GenBank genome assembly. NCBI's taxonomy places the organism in Eukaryota, Metazoa, Chordata, Lepidosauria, Squamata, Lacertidae.
CAGUUCCCCCCGCCAGGGGCUCCCUGUUAACGUCGCUUCGGCCUCUGCUUUCCCCUCCGGCGUUUCCUCCGCGUUCCCUUCUUCCCCUUUACCGGAGGCGCCUCAGGGAACAGGGUUGGUCGGUUGCCCGUUUCGCCGCAGCAGUAGAGCAGCAUAUCUGGUCGUCUCAUGGGGCAGGCGGAGGCCUCCACGGAGGAGCUGCUCAGGGCGAAGAAGCCGGGGCAAACCCCUGAGGCUGUUGCUCAUGGCGGUGGCGGCAAGAAGGCCGGCGAGGAUUCGCCUUCGCCCUGAGCGGGUUGGAAGAGGUUUGGGCUGAUCCCUCAUUGCAGUCUCUCUCUGCACGUGCUCCGUAUUGCGGUCCACAAAGAGACGGCAGAAAUUCAACAGGUGAACCACCGCGUGCCUGUUUCCAUAGGAGCCAAACUUCACACGUAGUACACUUCACCUAUAUACCUGUGUGCAUUCUUUACAGCCUCAAUACAGAACUUUGCUAUUCCCCACACCCCUCCCGUUGAUUUUAAUAUUUCAUUUCAACCCAGUUUCCCAUUUUAUCAAGGCCAUUUUGAAUGUCAUUCCUGCCUUCUGGUUUGUUUAUCAAAACCAAUUUUGUGCAAUCUGCAAACUUCUUUUACAGAUUUCCUCCACUCUAUAACUUAAAAACCAUUAAUAAAAAUACUGGAAGUACUGGACUCAGGGCAAAACCCUGUGGCAUUCCACUUGAAAGCUCCCACAAAGCACCAUCAAAUGAUAGGUUGCUUCUGUGUCCACAGAUAUGUUCUGUGACUUAUGUUUUUAUCAUCUUUUGUAAAAAUCAUGAGAAUCUGUGCCUUGAACCAUUGGUUUUGUGCUAGUAUCAGAUCUGUGAUUUUUACUGUAUGAUCUUCCACUGUAAGCUUUAAUUUGCUGGUGAUUUGGGGGAAUACUGGGUAAAAUCAUGCACAUUCAAAAGGAUUAGCUUUAAUUUUAGUUUUAUAUCUUUUAUCCCAACUCUAUGGAAAAGUUAAUAAAAUGUAUUUUGUUCUAUCUAUCUAGAGAGGCAAUCAGAGGGGACAGUCACCACGGAUUGGCAAUUCUUUCACUAGAUGCACUUUUAAAAGCCAUUGAGAAUUAUUUCUUGAAUCAUCCUGCGUUAUAAUUCAAUUUAAUCUUUACCUUUUAUUUCCUUUAUUCUAGUCAGAUGAGAAAGGAUGCCAAAUCCCAAAUUAUGAAGAAUCUAUCAUACUGCUUUUGUUCUGAAAAUUUGUAUCUUAUGAAUAACCUACAUGCAACUCAAAAGCACAUAACUAGUAUGCUCCAAUAAAAUAUAUUGUACUUAAAAACUCCA